CCGGCCGGGACAGGCUAGCAGCUAGCCGGCUAGCUAUAUAUACGAGACGGCUAGAGCUUACUGUGUAAAUAUGUUCAGUGUUGAGACCUGCAAAUUGCAGAAUGCUAUCGAGCUCAUCAGUGAGCCGAGGGUGAGAGAGCUAUCGAGCUAUCUGCCUACAGAUUGCAGAGCGCAGAAAGCCUAAGGCAAUUUUGUAGAGCAAGAAUUAACCGUUCAAUUCUCUGCAUUUCUCUUGCUGUUGGCGACAGACGCUCAAUUCCCUUGCUGUUCUCUGCAAUGCUCUUCACAAUACAACAGACGCUCUCUAGCUAUUGCCUAACACCAUGGUUAAUGAGCGCACACGACCCAAGUUAACUUUCCCUAUGCUAGCACAUCGUGCAGCUAGCGUCCAUCAACAAGGACAUCAGAUCCAUGCUACGGAUUAACGUUUACACAGGUCGAUCUCUACACUGCUACACCCGGUAGAUGUUGUUCUGCAAGUCGUCUAUAUCGUACAUCUUGGAAGGCUUGAGCCCCUGGCUGGAGUUGAAGAAAAGCGUGCACGACCACUUGAGGCUGUCGUUGACCUUCUGAACCUCCAGAACUUUGGGAGGUGAUGGGUGCGGGGUAGGGGCUUGGCAUUACUCGGGGCAAGGCUGUAGCCAAUCUAUCGCUUAGUGUUUGGCUGUUCGGAUGUCAAGGGGCAUUGCUUUCUUGAGUUAACUCGGGGGAAAGGUGGGGCCCUUUCCAUUAGCGGUCUGCGGGGAACCCUUUUCUACCCCUGAGNNNNNNNNNNNNNNNNNNNNNNNNNNNNNNNNNNNNNNNNNNNNNNNNNNNNNNNNNNNNNNNNNNNNNNNNNNNNNNNNNNNNNNNNNNNNNNNNNNNNUCAUUAUCUCGGUCAUCUAUGUAGAGUCGAUGUCAUUCAAGAAAGGAGUGUCAGAAGGCUGUACGGGGCUAUAUGAUCCACUUAAUGAUGGCACCAUUAGACUUUCUUCGGAAGGAAUAGGAUUUUAUUGCAUUGAGGAGAAAGAAUCGCAGGAUGAUUACCUGUCAUUCACAGAGAAGUUAUAACAUCUACCGGGUGUAGCAGUGUAGAGAUCGACCUGUAACUGUUCAGCUCCGUGCCCUCGCCGACCUCGCGGGGAGCAUUCCUCGCUUGCCGACGGCAUGUGCUGCCGCGAGACUGCGGGAGCUGCGAGCAUGUGUAUGGCGGUUCUCAACCACCGUUCCCACUGGCGACACCGCGACACGGCACUGGUUCGCCUAGAUCGAAACAUUAGCUUGUCCUCUCCUGGUAGCGGCGGCAAGAUGCGGUGAUUUGUUGUCCUUAGAUUAUCUUCCUCCGAGGCGAUUUGUUCUGCCUGAACUCCCCAAACGCCAAUCCUGCCACGGGAUUAUCUCUGGAAAAUUUAAUCAUCUGAAAUUCAAAUCACAGUGUAAAUCUGUAAACACAAACGCACAUGAGAAGAAUAAAUCGUGUCGAAAUCGAAAUCGUGGAUUGAUUUUAUUUUCAGGCUCCCGCAGACGAACUUGCAGAAAAGAAAGAAUUCUCUGAAGUCUGAAGCCGUGAUGGCCAUGGCCAUCGCCCAUCAGCAACCGCGCCUACGCGUUGCUUCUGGUGCUCCCUGUCGUGGCCGUGCUCCUCCGCGGAGAACCUGCCCACUCGUCGGCAGACUUACCUCUCGGCGGGCAGGCACUGUGCGGCUGCCUCCGGCGCUGUACCACCCGCGCUUCGCCGCGAAGGCGGUGGGGGGCCAGCUCCGGCGGUAGCCUGGCUUCGUCGCUAGUCCUCGUCCUUGGCGACGUCAAGGUUUGGGCCUCCACCAUAACGGCCACCGGAGGUGAAGGGGAUGACCAGAUGAGAUAGGGAGACAGGAGCAAGUGGACAGGAUAAAAGAUGGAUGGGGACCCACAUGUCCAGUCCAUGUCAUCGUACAAAUCAUGCCACGUAGGCGAUUUAAUGUAAGCUAACCAUGUUUUGGACCUCGGUGAUACAAUUAGCAAGUUUAGGAGAUCUGUAAUUUAAAAGUUUGGGAAUAUAGAUGACACAUUCAAACAAAUUUAAGUACCGCACAUGCAUUUUACUUAUAAAAAGAUAAUAGAGGCUAAUAUUUGGGACUCACUGAGCAGAUUGCCAGCAAGAGCGAUGACGUAGCGCCAUGUCGGCUGAAAACAGGGUGGAUUUGGGGGGUGGGGGAAUUUGUGUGCAGGAUAGCUGCAAAGCCCUCCUGGUACAGCCCUGGUCUAAUGGUGGACACGUGGACAACGCUUGUAUCCAAGGACAGGCUCCGACGCGAUCGACGCGGCUCAUGAUCAGUGGGAGAAUGUGGCUCCAGACAGAGCACAGGGACACGGCUCGGCUCCAUUUUUUUUCCUGUACGCCACUGCACAUAUUAGUCGUCCGCCGCCGCGCGACGAGCGACGACGUGUGUGUGCUGUACCAUCGGCGCACUUCCUGCUACUGUGCUCUGGGCGUAAGUUCUCUACUAAUCCAUUCAUUCAUUCAGUUAGCAUGAAUUUCUCCGAUUUCAUGAUUUAUUAUCAGCACACGAUUUAAGACUUUGCGCCACCAAAAUGCAAAUACUUUAUUUGGGUAGUUUAUCAGCAGAAGUAGCUUCAGAUAUAUUGUUUCCCUUGUCAAACAUUUCAUUGCAUUAGCAGUAAACUAUAGUACAUUGCAUCAAUCCAAUUUUCAGAAUCAAUGUACUGUAUCAGUUUCAGAUCAUGCUGACAAAUUGGCUGCUGAUUAGAAAGGCCGAAUCAAUUUAGAAGAUGCUGAUUUUGCUUGGAAUUGGUCAGCGGCCCUCGCAGGGCUAGUGUAGUGAUCAGAUUACAGAUGCAUUGUGAUGGAUGUAUUAUCUGAAUAUGUUGAAAAUUCAGAAAUUAAGGUUCAUGUGAAGAAGAAAUUUCUGCAAUGAAUGGAUCUUUAUGACUCCUUUCCUAAGCCUUUGAAUAAGUAAAGGUAGCUGGUAGCUGCUCGUGUUUCUAAAUGAUGCCCAUUUAGUUCAGGUUCUGUAUAUUGUAGUCAUCAAAUUACAGUUGUACAGAUAUGGAUGCGUUAAAAAGGAGAUGGAUGCGUUAAAAAAUGAUAAUUUUUCUGAUUUGUUGCAAAAUAGAAUCUUCAAGUGUUAUCUGGAUGAUGAUCACCCAUACUUGAACAAUCAAUGGUGGCUGCAAGGUAUGUUGCAGCAGGGUAUCAUCGGGAACAAUCAAUGGUGGCUGCAAGGUAUGUUGCAGCAGGGUAUCAUCGGGAGGCAUAAGUGAUGGCUGAGACGACCUCCGUGGCUUCUACGCAGUAGAAUCAUCACAAUUGUGCGGCGGCUAGGCACGCGGUGCCGCCAUCAGUAUAUCGGACGUUGGGUUUGGGAUCGCGGGAUGAGAGACUAGAGCCGCGCCUGGGAGCCUAGAAGUGGAGCUGUGCGUGGAGAAGCUGAGUGAGUUAAUACGUGAAGCCAGGAGGAGUCGAGCGUGCGAGUAUGCCGAGCGCAAAAGAGAUAUGCCGUCUGAUCAUCUAGGCCAGGAGGGUUUUGCAGCCCUUUGCACACAAUUUUUUUCCGGAUUUGGGUUGGGUGGUCGCGAAGUAACCGGUUUCGAGAGUGAAAAUUUGGACCGGCUGAAAACAAGGAUCGUGAAUGGACGGUUUUUGAGGGCAGGGUGAAAAUUUGGACCAGCCCAUAAUCCAAGGGGUUGAAUAAGACUUUUUCCAAUUCUAUAUCUCAAGCUAGGCCCAGAAGAAAAGUAAGGGUCCACGCCAUAACGGCCCAACUCUAAACAAGUUGUUCUGGCGUAUCCCUCGUAUAAAUCUUCCCAACCCUAACCUCGUGGUGCUUCCCCUCCCCAUCUCCUCCGACCAUGUCUACCUCCUCUCAUCCUGACUGCAUCCUCCUCGUCGUGCCUACUUAAAACCUAGAAACACCGAUCCCUAACCCUAACUCCCACAUCCACCCCCGCCACCACUGGCCUCCACCGCGGCCGCUUUCACCCCGCCUCCUCUCCCCCGAGCUCUGCUUAGGGUUUCAAAGACGUGUAUCAGUCGUCACCGGUAGCUUCCGUCCCUAGCGUAGCCACUGGUAUGUUUCGACGCCUUCCUCUUCUCUUUCUCUAUUUUUCCCUUUUCUGGAUGAGUUCCAAACUGACAAGUUUCUCUGUUAGGCACCAUGUCAUCCCUAUACGAGAAACGUCCACUCGAUGCUAAUGGAAAUGUGAUUGGAAUGGUGCUUCAAGGUACACAGAGAUCUAUAGACCAGGUGGCAAUAUACAAUAUGGUCACCCUCAAGUAUUCUUCAAUUUAUGGGCAGCAAGGCCCUGUGACAGAAGAAAGUCUCAAGUCCAUCAUCAAUGAGAUGCUAGAGCAAUGUAUUUGUGGAGUAGAAGGUAUCUCAGCUGCUCAAGCAAUGGAAGUUAAACAUGCGCUUUCUAACAUUUGUACCAAUUUCUCUAUGCAACCACGCCUGAGCGGCCACAUGGAUUUUGUGACUAAUGCGUCAUACUUGCUAUGUCGUAUUUUGGGUUUAACUGUGUUGCAUGGGUGGGUUCUAAAUCCUGAAGUUAGCAGCUAUGAUUCUCUUAACAGAUUCUCUCAUGAAGAGUUGCUGAAGCACACAUGUGAUCUAAAAGGACAAAAUGACCAAGUCUGUGAUGGUUUACAUGAUGGUUUUAAAAAUCAGCUAACUUCUUAUGGGUUUAAUUCUUUACCCGCGAAGUUAACUGAUGAUGCAAUAGCACUACUUUUCUGUCGCAACAGAUUGAAUAUUUAUUCACAAGCAUUGUGAUGUUGUAUAUAUAUAUGUAACUGAUGAGGACAUUCGCAAACAAAUGUCUGAAGCGGUUUGGAUGUUGUUUGAAGAGUGCCAAGAAAGAAAUAUUUACUUCACCGAAAAGUAUACCACUGUCAAAGGGCAACCGUGUGAAAAAGAGGCUAGGGAAUGGUACAUGAGGUUUCUUCAGAUGAAGAAUACUCGGAUGAAAAAUGAGAAAGUUACAAGGACAAUCUCAUGACGUGGCAGUCAUCUCGAAGGAGAAUCAAGAUUAACAGUUCUUUUAUGUAGUUAUCAUGAACUUUUAAUUAUGUCAAUUUAAGAUAUAAGUUUAGUUUCCAUAGGAAUUCUGUUUGGUUCAUUUGUGUGCAACCUAGUAGGUUCUGUAAUUUAAAUUAUUUAAUGACUUUACAAUUUCCUUUCUUUUGAACUAGAAUUUCAAAAAUCAAAUACAUACACAAGAAUUUUGAGUAAUGUUGUGCGCUUCCUUGUGUUAUUAACUGUGAUUUUACUGAGUUGCUGUAGAUCGGGCUUUUCUUUGUUGUCUGCUAUAUUGUAAGGUCAUCUGUUACGUGGUAACAAAUUGCAUUGGUAAUGUCUUUUGUCGUUAGUACCAUGCUGUUUAUGCAGCCGAAUUAAGUUUAAAUACGUUUGGGUUGUGCACAUCCUUGUUGAACAUUGUUGGCACUGGCUGAUAAAUUUACUGUUAUCAAUUUUUUUCACUAUUCUUUCUUUUGACGAAAUAUGCUUUUACUGUAUGACUGCCUUUUCUUUAUCAUUUAGCAUUUAGACUGGAAGUGAUUCUAAAUUCUAAUGUUAAUAUUGUGCACAACAUCAUUCUUUAAGCCGACGAUGUUCUAAUUAUGUGCAGUAGACUUGAUCGUGAGGUUGCGGUUACAGUUCAGUUGAUUGAGCACAUAAUGUUUAUUCCUUUUACGUGAUCUAUUUGCUGACUGUUGAAAGAGGGUUUAUAAGACAAUUUUGUUUGCAACCUUUUGUCAGCAGAAUGGUUUAUUGCAGGAUAAACUUCUUUAAUGUGUUUCACUUUAGCUAAUUAUAAAGAAAAGUUGUUGUUGUUAUAAUGUUAGAAUUUCUCUGAGAUAGGAAUGGUGGUGUAGUAGGUCUGAGAUUAGGAAUACUUUGUGUUGCUUUGAAGGCUGGUCUUUUGAAUUCUGUACAUGAUUGCUGACUUGUGGCAUCUGUCAUUUUAGAAUAUUUUAGUUUAUCGAUCUGUGCUUGUGUGUUCUAGAAGAUAGCACUGGUCGUGUAUUCUUCUUAUUUGGAUCUUUCUGUUGUCCUUAAAUGUGCUCUUUGUUUAAGUGGUGCAUAUUCUCAAGUGUUGAGCAACGUGGUGUGCUUAUUUCAAGAUUAAGAAUAGUUCAAGCCUUCCUCCAUCAGUCAUUUAUAGGGUUAAGUUAUAUCUGUUGGUACCUUGCGUUCAAUUUUCAGUUUGAGCUUGCUGAUGAUGGCCGUCUAUGUUGUGGAUCAAUAUUCUUAUGGAAACGCGUUUAUCCUCCUACAGAGGUACAAGUUCAUGUUGGCACAGUUUGAUUACUCUGGCAGUUUCCUCAUGAAAUCAGUUAACUCCAUACUUCUUCUGUGAUCAUCUGUUGCAGGAAUCUGAUCGCCACACAGUUAUCGUGGUGGAAGGACCAUAUUCUGUGGAGUAUGACUCUGUAUACGUUUUUCUGACUGUGUGGCUGGGCUUGUAAUGUCACACUGGUUCUGACCAUUGAGAAGGCUGAUGAAGAUUCAUCGGGAGUUUUGCAGCCGGAUUGGAAGCUUGUAGGAGAAAUUUUUGUGGUAAUUGUGCGACGAAUUGAACUUGCUUCUUGGCCUGGACUGGAAUCUUGGUCUGACGAUAUUAGUGAUGGUCUGCUUUAGUUGGGUUGCUGAAUUUGGAGGACGUCCUUACUCCUUGCUGUUUUGCUUCACGCUUUGAACUAUCUGAAGGAAUUACUGUCAUGGUCUCAUGGAUGAAGCAAAAUUCAACCACAUUUUCAGCAUUUGUCCUUCGGAAGUCAUGCAGUGCCGUUUGCCCCUUAAUGCAGUGGCGGGUAAAUGAUUGUCAUUAACUUUUUUUUUCUUUCCAUAACUUGAAUUAACCUGCCCUACGCUAGUACGUCGUGCAGCUAGUGUCCAUCAACAUUCAACAAAGACAUCAGAUCCAUGCACACAAGAUGAGAGAGAGUACCAAUUGCUAGCUACGGAUUAACGUUUACAGGUCGAUCUCUACACUGCUACACCCGGUAGAUGUUGUUCUGCAAGUCUAUAUUGUACAUCUUGGAAGGCUUGAGCCCCUGGGUGGCGUUGAAGAAGAA
This 7057-nucleotide long non-coding RNA is filed under the name Setaria italica (foxtail millet). Its description in RNAcentral is "long non-coding RNA (SITA_LNC000746)". The record is from RNAcentral. Lineage: Eukaryota; Viridiplantae; Streptophyta; Magnoliopsida; Poales; Poaceae.